This is a non-coding RNA of Castor canadensis (American beaver), 1278 nucleotides long. The record is from RefSeq and is a predicted model, not a curated record. Lineage: Eukaryota; Metazoa; Chordata; Mammalia; Rodentia; Castoridae.
GUUCCCCGGGAGCCGUUGCUUGUACCCGUCGCCCGGGUUCCCAGGGCGCCAGCCUCGGGCGGAAGGCUGGGGCACUCGCCCAGUGCGCGUCCGCACAGCCUGCUCCCAGCAGUUCUGCGUCAGACGACUCCUGGCUUCUGAGUCCUUCACCUCGCUUGGCCUUGGCACCAACCUUCCCUCGGCCGAAGGUUGCACUCGUGAGUGAACAGUUCAAGCUCCUCUGUGACUUCUGCAGGGAGCUGUCGCUGUGUCUCUGCUUCGAUUUAUCAAAGCAGCUGUUAGGGGCGUCCCUCACCUCCCUGUUUGGGGGCUGCCUGUUCUGCAGGAGCGAGAACCUCCCCUCCUCAGUUUUAGGCUAGGUGUAGACCAGAUAAAUGUUGCUUGCAGAGCUUCAUAUUCUCCACUUGUCUUUUCUUGCUUGCCUCCUCCCCUGCCAACUCUGUAGACCAAUAUCAGGGUCUUGCUGUGUACCUAGACUGGCUUAGAACUUAAGAUCUUCCUUCCUCCUUCUCCCAAGUGCUGUGAUUACAGGCAUGUACCACCAUGCCUGGCUGACAUCUUUUGUUUAAGCAACUAGAUUUCUUUCACAUGGAACAUAAAGAGCCUGAACUGACAUAUUUUUUGAGCUUGGGUGAGUUAUUACCCAAUUUCUUCAUCUAUUAUUUGGGGAGAAUAAGAUGGACCUCCCAGGCAGCUGUAAGGUUUAAAUAACAUGUAAAUUUAUACUUAAAAUAGGAUUGCUAUUCGUGAUGUAAAAAUUUUAGUGUUGGAGACGGACAGGAUUUAUUUGCCUUACAAACAGUGCUUGUGGCACACAGGGUUUCAGAGGCCCUCUCAGGCCCUCCCAGGAUCUGCAGUUAUAGGUUGGGAAUCACUGCUAUCACUGCUCCAGAGGUUAACUUUUGAGCAGGGCAACAGGUACUUCCCUGUGCCCCUUCAAUCUAGUGCAUUCUUUCUCUAAGAGCCUAGUCAUGUUGCAAGGGUCCUCCCAUCCCAUUCCUACCUUAACUGGCCUGAGUACAGGUUCAUUCCAAGCAAGAGCCCCAUUCCCUAUUUCACUGAUUCCAACCUUGCUCAGGAGGUGGAGUGAUUGGAGAUUAUUUCUGUUGUAGAACCAGGAACACCCUUACCAACAGGAACUAUGGCUGUCGUUUAUUCACAUGGAAUACAAUCACAAUUUGUCAGGGAAAAAAAAAUGCUAACUGCCUGAGAGUUGGUGAGUUUUUCCUUUAACAUCCCUCUACUAGUACUAAUUCACUUCUUACUUGUGAGUUUCUA